Delphinapterus leucas (beluga whale) is the source of this 2601-nucleotide long non-coding RNA. The record is from Ensembl. NCBI's taxonomy places the organism in Eukaryota, Metazoa, Chordata, Mammalia, Artiodactyla, Monodontidae.
GCAGGGGUGACAGAAGGGGAGAAGGGCAGAGGGUGGCCCCAGGGGCCCCCGGAGCGAGGCCUGGAUGCUGGACCAAGCCCGGGAGGGGGCAAGUGGGGCAGCUCGCCGGAGGAGACGUGCCUUCACGUCGGCCGCCAAGGCAGCGGCGGCAGCGGCGGCGGCGGCGGCGGCGACUGGAGACUGAAGGGGAGGAGGUUUGGGGAGGGAGGGAGCUCGGGGGAGAGGGAGGGAGGGACGGAGCCGUGGCGGGGAGGUGGGGCCGGCGGGCGGGCGGCUGCAGCUGCCGCCGGCGUCUCGGGGGCUCCAGGCUGCGGGGCGGACGCAGCGCCUAGUGAUCCACCGCGGAGCCGCGCGAGGCCGCCCGAGCCCGAGCCCCAGCCCCGAGCCCCGAGCGAGCGCCGCCGCCGCCUCUCGCCAGCCGGUCCCCGGACGCGCCGCCGCCGCCACCGCCGGGAAGGCAGCCGGUGCCUAGGAAGUUGCGAGUGCGCUUCUCCGCCCGGGGAAAGUUUCCCCCGCGGCCGCCGACUGGAGUUGGCGCGGGAUCCGGCCACUGCCGCUGGAAGAGUUUAUCCUGAAGCUACCAUCAGAAAGAGACUUCAAGAGAAUCUUGACAUCCCUGAAAGGAAAAGACAACAGUUGAAAGAGGUGGGCAUCUCCUGGACAGCCCCGAGCUUGCAGGGACCAGACCUUCCGACCCCAUCAUCCAAGCUACGUGAACCCUUUGAAUUUGAACUUCCAAAAACGUGGGCACAACCUUUUUCCAGACUUCUCGACGCAGGCUACCCAGGACAAGCUGGGCCAAUAACGGAAAUAUACAGGAACCCCUCUGACCAAGAGACUGUCCCGCUGACAUCAGAACUGCCCAGGGGGAGCACCAUGGAAGGCGACUGUCUGAGCUGCAUGAAGUAUCUGAUGUUUGUAUUCAAUUUCUUCAUAUUUGUAAGUAUUCCUGGAACAUUCCCAGGGUCUCCCCAGGCCUCUGCGGGGUGGGCAGGACUGACUGCGGCUUGAAAGUCACAUGGGGCUGAGUCCCAGGAACAGGAAUGGGGGCCAGUGCUAGAAGCAGCUCUACCUGCCCAGCUGGGGGCUCACGGCGGGGAGGCCCCCAGCAGUGCCCACCCCACUCGUAGCGCCCACCAUCACAGGAGAGAUGUUUUGCACAGCCCCUGGGAUGAUGCUUCAGCUAUUCUAAAAAAGAAAAGAUAGGGGCCUCAGUCCUGGCUACUAUCUUGAAAUCUGACCCCUGGUAGGGAGUUGUGGGGGGGGGAGGAUGGGGGUGAUCAGAGGGCAGCAGGGAGCCCCACCCAGCCCUGACCCCCCAGAGCAGUUAUGCGCAGCAGAGCUGGAUGGGCGGAGCUGAUGGAGCCACCUGAUGAAAUCUGAAACCUCUCUGGGACCAAGAGACCUGGGUUCAAAGCCCAGCUCUGCAUCUCUCCAGCUGUGAUCUGAAACACAUUUCACCCCUCUGAACCUCAGUAUCUUCAUCCUUUAAUCUCCUCCCUCAGCAGGUUUUUUGCAAAUGAAGCAAGAUUAGUUUAGGAAGUGCCUGGAAUGUGUCAGCUCCAUCCCCAUCCAACCUAUGGAUUCUAUGCGUGAAAGAACAGAGGCCCUGGGGGCUCAGGUGGCCAGCCCAGCGCCCUGUAGCACAGCUCACCUGCUCUGCUCAGACCCAUGGCCUCUCCCAGGAGCAGAGCCACGCUCAUCGUGUGACCCCACCUCAACCUUUGACCUUAGUGCUGCCAAGACCUCGAUGAGUAAACAUCUACUGAUGUCCCCCAGGGCAGGGUCACUAGGCAAGAGAGGCCUCUUCUGGUCAAGACUGACUCUUGUCCGUCUGUCUGUCACCAUCUAUUUUUUGUACAUUUCAGCAACUCUCCUGGAUUCCCUCCCCUGCUCCUAAUCCUGAAGAGCAGGGAGCCCCACAGACUUGAAUUCUAGACCCAACUUCCAAGCUGGGUGGCCCUGGGCAGCCCCAGUGUCCCUAGGUGAAAUGGGGCUGAGUCAUCCUGGGCCGCCCAGUUCAUGCCUGAGCCCCGCCCUUGAAGCAGAACUCAGCACACAAUUAUUAAAGCCCCAAACCUCCAACAGCUAUGAGAAGGUUUCCCUGGAGGUUUGUGGGGAGACCAAGGAGAAAGGCGUUGGGCAGCAGACAGCGAAAAUGUAGAUUCUGUCGUUCACUGUCCCGGGGUCCCUCAGGCCUCUCUGCCUCCCCCGUCCCACCACCGCACCUGAAAAUAUCGCCUCUUGCCCCAAACCAUCCAGCUCUUCCCCCAGCUUACAGAGCCCCCAGCCAAGCCAAAGCUCAGCAGUUUUCUGUCAUUCCUCAGGUCCUCCCACGACACGGGGAUUUCAAACACUUCCCAGCCUUUAAAAUCUGAUGAUGCCAAACGGUUUCUGCUGCAACAGGUCUGUUUCCAAUGCUGGUCUGUGCCCAAGACCAGUGGAACAGAUGUUUAUUGAACCCUGCUAAACACCUUCACGUCCGUUCUGUCCUUUCUUCUUAUUCGGGGCCACCUUGGGAGGUGGGAAACAGUAUCUUCUUUUAACCACGGGGAAGCCAAGGUUCAGAGAGGUUAAGCCACUUACCCAAGGUCACACAGC